RNAcentral lists this ribosomal RNA (497 nucleotides) under uncultured bacterium. Its description in RNAcentral is "partial 16S ribosomal RNA". It matches the Rfam family "Bacterial small subunit ribosomal RNA", at positions 28 to 507 of the family's 1533-position model. The record is from RNAcentral.
GAUGAGCGCUGGCGGCGUGCCUAAUACAUGCAAGUCGAGCGAGCAGACGAGGAGCUUGCUCCUCUGACGUUAGCGGCGGACGGGUGAGUAACACGUGGAUAACCUACCUAUAAGACUGGGAUAACUUCGGGAAACCGGAGCUAAUACCGGAUAAUAUAUUGAACCGCAUGGUUCAAUAGUGAAAGACGGUUUUGCUGUCACUUAUAGAUGGAUCCGCGCCGCAUUAGCUAGUUGGUAAGGUAACGGCUUACCAAGGCGACGAUGCGUAGCCGACCUGAGAGGGUGAUCGGCCACACUGGAACUGAGACACGGUCCGGACUCCUACGGGAGGCAGCAGUAGGGAAUCUUCCGCAAUGGGCGAAAGCCUGACGGAGCAACGCCGCGUGAGUGAUGAAGGUCUUCGGAUCGUAAAACUCUGUUAUUAGGGAAGAACAAAUGUGUAAGUAACUAUGCACGUCUUGACGGUACCUAAUCAGAAAGCCACGGCUAACUACGUG